Molecule: transfer RNA, 73 nt
Filed under: Pteropus alecto (black flying fox)
Lineage: Eukaryota; Metazoa; Chordata; Mammalia; Chiroptera; Pteropodidae
Also listed under: 1 other name
Rfam family: tRNA
About the family: Transfer RNA (tRNA) molecules are approximately 80 nucleotides in length. Their secondary structure includes four short double-helical elements and three loops (D, anti-codon, and T loops).
Source: Rfam by way of RNAcentral
GGUUCCAUAGUGUAGCGGUUAGCACAUCUGCUUUACAUGCAGAAGGUUCUGGGUUCAUGCCCCAGUGGAGCCA